This 440-nucleotide ribosomal RNA is filed under the name uncultured bacterium. RNAcentral's name for it is "partial 16S ribosomal RNA". It matches the Rfam family "Bacterial small subunit ribosomal RNA", at positions 338 to 795 of the family's 1533-position model. The record is from RNAcentral.
CCUACGGGAGGCUGCAGUGGGGAAUAUUGCACAAUGGGGGAAACCCUGAUGCAGCGACGCCGCGUGAGUGAAGAAGUAUCUCGGUACGUAAAGCUCUAUCAGCAGGAAAGAAAAUGACGGUACCUGACUAAGAAGCCCCGGCUAACUACGUGCCAGCAGCCGCGGUAAUCCGUAGGGGGCAAGCGUUAUCCGGAUUUACUGGGUGUAAAGGGAGCGUAGACGGCGCUGCAAGUCCGUAGUGAAAGCCCAUGGCUUAACCAUGGUACUGCUCUGGAAACUGUAGAGCUUGAGUGCGGGAGGGGCAGGCGGAAUUCCUAGUGUAGCGGUGAAAUGCGUAGAUAUUAGGAGGAACACCAGUGGCGAAGGCGGCUUACUGGACUGUAACUGACGUUGAGGUGCGAAAGCGUGGGGAGCAAACAGGAUGAGAUACCCUUGUAGUC